RNAcentral lists this unclassified non-coding RNA (516 nucleotides) under Hevea brasiliensis (rubber tree). The record is from RNAcentral. Lineage: Eukaryota; Viridiplantae; Streptophyta; Magnoliopsida; Malpighiales; Euphorbiaceae.
GGAAAUUCAUACUUAUUAUUUGAAAAAUUAGAUACAUAGGCGAAUAACAGUAAUGCAAAAUACAGCUGACAACCACUCAAACUACAUCAAGACCAAAUCUAAACCUUAUUGGCAGCAAACAAAUUCAAGUACUCCUCCAGCUAGUUCUUCAAAGUCUGAAUCAAGGACUGACCGCUCCGCCGGCCGGGUUGGGAACCUCGAACCCGGGGUUGGGAACGAAGGUGUCGUCAUUCCCCGGGAUGUAAUGGCCGCUGGCUGCAGCCGGGCCACUGUGGUCUAGGUCAGUAAAGGAAGGAAUGCCCUCGUGGCUGCCAAUCAUGUAGCGACCGAUCCCGGGGAUAAGGACACUGCCCUCCUGGUCGAGGCACUCCUUGUCCACUUUCUUGUCUGCAGCAGAAGCCGAAGUCGCAGGGACUCCGCGGCCUGCAGCUGCUGCUGCAGAGACAAGAAGCAAGAGUACGAGUACGAUGACAGAGGAGGAUGAGUAAGCCAUUGGAGUUAUGGGUAGCAGUAGAC